GCAGUGAAAGCUGAAAUUUUAAGCGUCGGUCUUGUAAAUCGAAGGAUGAAGGUGUUAAGGUCUUUCUCGCUGCU
Molecule: transfer RNA, 74 nt
Filed under: Cellana tramoserica
Lineage: Eukaryota; Metazoa; Mollusca; Gastropoda; Nacellidae
Also listed under: 1 other name
Description: tRNA-Thr
Rfam family: tRNA
About the family: Transfer RNA (tRNA) molecules are approximately 80 nucleotides in length. Their secondary structure includes four short double-helical elements and three loops (D, anti-codon, and T loops).
Source: RNAcentral